This 642-nucleotide long non-coding RNA is filed under the name Lathyrus oleraceus (garden pea). RNAcentral's name for it is "Pisum sativum (pea) long non-coding RNA (PSAT_LNC012485)". Lineage: Eukaryota; Viridiplantae; Streptophyta; Magnoliopsida; Fabales; Fabaceae. The record is from RNAcentral.
AUCAUCUAUUUAAGAGACAUUCUAAUAAUAAUUUUAUAUGUAAAAGAAAAAUCAUAAGCUUUAUACACUAUAAAGAGAUCAAAUCAUUUUUUAUAUGUAAAAAGAAAAAAUAUGAUUAAAAUUCACAAGUUUGUUUAUGCUACAAUUCUAUUUCUUUCUAUAUCUUUUGUUGCAGCGCAGAAAUAUGUCCGUAAGAUAUUUCUUAUCUUUUUCAAAUUUUCCUUAUUUACUUUGCACAAUUUUUUUUUAUUCCGUUUUAUUAAUAUGAUUAGUUUUUAAUUACAGCACGUAUACGUGAAUGUGAAUAUGAUGACGAUUGUCCACAAAUAGUUGCAUAUCCUUUAGCUAUGAAGUGCGUUUAUUACAAUUGUGUAGUUGUUAACCUCAAUGAUCCAUGAUCCUCACUCAAAGAAGUGCCAUGAAGAAUAAUAAUGAGUUUUGUCAUGAGCAAAAUACUUGUGCAUUAUACCUUAUGCAAUAAUACUCCAUAACAUGUCAUUAUUGUAAUGGAUAUCAAUGAUUAUUUAAUCUAUUUAUAGUUAGUUUCUUAAUUUGCAAAUCUUGAAGUUAUGGUUAUGAUAAUAAUGAAAUUAAUUAAGAGUGCACUCUUUCACACACAAAAUUCUGAUCACUGAGACCGAC